CCUACGGGUGGCAGCAGUGGGGAAUAUUGCACAAUGGGGGAAAUCCUGAUGCAGCGACGCCGCGUGAGUGAAGAAGUAUUUCGGUAUGUAAAGCUCUAUCAGCAGGGAAGAAAAUGACGGUACCUGAUUAAGAAGCCCCGGCUAAUUACGUGCCAGCAGCCCCGGUAAUACGUAGGGGGCCAGCGUUAUCCGGAUUUACUGGGUGUAAAGGGAGCGUAUGCGGCAGCACAAGUCUGGAGGGAAAUGACGGUGCUUAACCCCGGAGCUGCUUUGGAAACUGUGCAGCUAGAGAGCAGGAGAGGUAAGGGGAAUGCCUAGUGUAGCGGUGAAAUGCGUAGAUAUUAGGAAGAACACCAGUGGCGAAGGCGGCUUACUGGACUGGAACUGACGUUGAGGCUCGAAAGCGUGGGGAGCGAACAGGAUUAGAUACCCCAGUAGUC
RNAcentral lists this ribosomal RNA (440 nucleotides) under uncultured bacterium. RNAcentral's name for it is "partial 16S ribosomal RNA". It matches the Rfam family "Bacterial small subunit ribosomal RNA", at positions 338 to 795 of the family's 1533-position model. The record is from RNAcentral.